GUUCCCGGCCCCGCCCCUCCCCUCGCAGGUCCACCCCCUUCACGGAGCAUGCGCUGUUCUCCCUCUGUCCCGCCCCUCCCUUCUAGAGCCCCCGGUUCCUUAGAAACCAGGCGGCGUGUUCACGGUGUCGGGACGCUAGAUUACGGUGGCUGCUCAAGCCCGCUAGUCUCCUUUAAGGCGGACGGGUGGCCUCCGAAACCCGUCCCGACCCAUGGUCUCCGGUGCGGCGCGGAGCGGGCAAUGCCAGCGUGCCAGGGAACGAACUCGGGACCUUGCGCUUUCGAGGCAGGCAGUGGAACCACUAAGCUAAAUCCCUGGCCCUCCUACCAUUUUGGACCCAUUCUGCACUGAAGAAAUGCUUGGGUAGAUGUUUGGACUGCUCUGGUGAAAGAGGAGUAUCUUCCAGUUACAAGCUGGCUGUGUGUGUGUGAGUGUGAGCUCCACCCCCAGCCACUUUUGUUUUUCUUUAGCAAACUAGCUUUUUCAUUGACCUUGGGCAACUGUGUUUUUUUCCUUUCUUUCUCUUCCUGGACUACCAAUGUCAGUCUUUCUAUGAUAAUUCAGCUCCAGGGUAUAGAUGAUGCCUUUCCCAUAUAGAACUCAAAGUGUGUUACAGAAACUGUGUAUCAUUUACCACUUUAAGUAAGGCUGACUUAUAUCCUCCUGGAUGCUGUCACAGUACCAUGAUUGUUUUAUCUCUCCUGCUAGACUAUACAAUCUAUCUAAGCAAAAGCUGUAACUGUUUUGCUCACCAAAAUAUCCUGUGCUUUGUCUAGUGCUGGCCCAUAACAGGUAUUUAAUAAAUGUAUAUUAGUGAGUCUAUCUGCA
This 828-nucleotide long non-coding RNA is filed under the name Heterocephalus glaber (naked mole-rat). RNAcentral's name for it is "lncRNA (ENSHGLG00100046771.1)". Lineage: Eukaryota; Metazoa; Chordata; Mammalia; Rodentia; Bathyergidae. The record is from RNAcentral.